This 909-nucleotide long non-coding RNA is filed under the name Anas platyrhynchos platyrhynchos (common mallard). RNAcentral's name for it is "lncRNA (ENSAPLG00000022173.1)". Lineage: Eukaryota; Metazoa; Chordata; Aves; Anseriformes; Anatidae. The record is from RNAcentral.
GGUAAUAGAUUGGAGAGGCAGUGUUUCUAGAAUUGACUAGAAAUCUCUGUUAAGUUUAACAUGCUGCAUCUGUGGUAAAAAGUUUAAUAUUGAGCUCAACUAGUAGGAUUCUAACCUUCAAGCAUCAAAUGUUGUGAGGUCCUCCUACCUAGUAACAGAGCAAUGAUUGUCAAAGAUGGGAUAGGUCAUGAAGUUAAUUUAAACUCUUCCUCAGGCACAGCACAUCACACUACAGAUAUUAGAUAUAUUUCUUAGAGACUAGACAAUUGGAUUUUAAUUGGAUUAUAAUUGGGGGCAAGGGAGAAAUUAAAAAAUAAAAUAAAAUAAAAUAAAAAUAUAUAUAUAUAUAUAUAAUCAUAACACCUGGGAACCUUCAUAUAAAUGCAAGAUGGUGAGGGCAAGACAGCUGAAGCCUGUGUGGAUGAAGGACAGCAGUAAAGUGGUGAAAAUGUGAUACAGGUGCUAUCAUGGCUUGGCAUAAAGAUGUGAAACAAGUAUCAAAAAGGUGGAGGAACUGAAGAUGUAUUAAUUUUUGCUGAUGGUCAGUGGAAUAGAUAUCAAUCAUAAUUCACCUGUGGGAGCUGAGCUGUAGCUGUGACAUGGUAUGGAAAGUGACUGUGGAGUGGGAAGGAGGAAGUCUGAGGUAGAGGCCAUGCAAGUGACUUCUUUGACAUACAUAGAAUCAAUCCAAUAUAUAGAAGAUCUUUUAUUUCUGGCAUGGCUGCUAUCUUCAAAUGCCAUAUACACGUAUGACCUGGAUAAAAAUACCAGACUGACAAUUCAGAAUAUAACAGUUGUUGAGUAAGCAGGAAAAAAUCUGACCUUCACUGAGAGCUCAAUCAUACGCUUCUUAGAGACACUCUUUUUUCUUCAAAACUGUUUUGGAAUAAAAUUAAAAGGAUUGUGACA